Erinaceus europaeus (western European hedgehog) is the source of this 301-nucleotide long non-coding RNA. RefSeq lists it as uncharacterized. The record is from RefSeq and is a predicted model, not a curated record. Lineage: Eukaryota; Metazoa; Chordata; Mammalia; Eulipotyphla; Erinaceidae. The transcript has 3 exons.
CUGUGGACACCCCUGGCCAUCCCAACCUGGGACCAGAGCACCCACAGAAAUGGCAAGAAGGACCCCACCACAGCUCCAAACAACAGCAAAUGUCACCAGCAAUCAGAGAGGAAAAACAGCUGCUUAGCCUGAGCAAUCUUGCAUUUUCAGCAAAGAGGGAGAGAAAUUAGAUACAAGGGGAAUAAAGAAGAAUCCCUCCUUAGCAAGAUUUUCCUGGGACUUCAGGAGGAUGCACAUAAAAUACUUAGCGCAGAAUACAUUAGAUUAUCCUCCUACCUCAUUUUAUUGGGCCUAAUAAUUA